GACGAACGCUGGCGGCGUGCUUAACACAUGCAAGUCGAACGGAAAGGCCCUGCUUUUGUGGGGUGCUCGAGUGGCGAACGGGUGAGUAACACGUGAGUAACCUGCCCUUGACUUUUGGAUAACUUCAGGAAACUGGGGCUAAUACCGGAUAGGAGCUCCUGCUGCAUGGUUGGGGUUGGAAAGUUUCGGCGGUUGGGGAUGGACUCGCGGCUUAUCAGCUUGUUGGUGGGGUAGUGGCUUACCAAGGCUUUGACGGGUAGCCGGCCUGAGAGGGUGACCGGCCAAAUGGGGACUGAGAUACGGCCCGGACUACUAAGGGAGGCAGCAGUGGGGAAUAUUGCAUAAUGGGCGGAAGCCUGAUGCAGCAACGCCGCGUGCGGGAUGACGGCCUUCGGGUUGCAAGCCGCUUUCGCCUGUGACGAAGAGUGAGUGAAGGUAAUGGGUAAAGAAGCACCGGCUAACUACGUG
This 468-nucleotide ribosomal RNA is filed under the name uncultured bacterium. Its description in RNAcentral is "partial 16S ribosomal RNA". It matches the Rfam family "Bacterial small subunit ribosomal RNA", at positions 28 to 507 of the family's 1533-position model. The record is from RNAcentral.